UACAGAGGGGGCAAGCGUUGUUCGGAAUUACUGGGCGUAAAGGGCGCGUAGGCGGCCUGUUAAGUCGAACGUGAAAUCCCCGGGCUCAACCCGGGAACUGCGUCCGAUACUGGCAGGCUUGAAUCCGGGAGAGGGAUGCGGAAUUCCAGGUGUAGCGGUGAAAUGCGUAGAUAUCGGGAGGAAUACCAGUGGCGAAGGCGGCUUCCUGGCCUGUUCUUGACGCUGAGGCGCGAAAGCUAGGGUAGCAAACGGG
This 253-nucleotide ribosomal RNA is filed under the name uncultured bacterium. RNAcentral describes it as "partial 16S ribosomal RNA". It matches the Rfam family "Bacterial small subunit ribosomal RNA", at positions 524 to 776 of the family's 1533-position model. The record is from RNAcentral.